RNAcentral lists this long non-coding RNA (2873 nucleotides) under Sorghum bicolor (sorghum). RNAcentral's name for it is "long non-coding RNA (SBIC_LNC015650)". The record is from RNAcentral. Lineage: Eukaryota; Viridiplantae; Streptophyta; Magnoliopsida; Poales; Poaceae.
GCGUCCCUCAAAUGGAUGACGUCUGACCUCUAGAGAAUUAAGGCUAAACUUUCCAAUGUAGUAGAUUAGUUCUAGUUGAGAGUUAGGGAGAGCGGCGCUACGCCUGGGUUCUGGAGGAGUGUUCGGGAGGAGUCUUCUGGAGGAGUCAUCAGAGUUCUGGUAUAUCUUUGUAUCUUUUCUUGUAAGACUUAUGCUGUAAUAUAUUUUAUCUUCUCUAUUUACUUUUAUGCAUUACAUUUGAUUGGUUAGUAUAGUUGUUAUACUUUAGCAUAGGAUCUUCGCCCGCAUCGGGUGGUCUAGUUAUUAAUUGUGACUUGAGUAGUAGAGAUAUGGUGUCUAGACUAUAGGUUAUCUAAGAUUGCACCCAGUUCUAUGGAUAGUUGUGGUAGCCCCAGGUGGUGACAGCCCUGAUGUAACACUCUAAAAAUUCGCUUCUUUAAAAUAGUUCAAAUUUGAUUUUUUUUGGAGUCAAUUUUGUGAGUAUUAAAUAUAGAAAAAUAAUAAUAAAUUUUGGGAAAUUAAAAUUUAAGAUAAGUUUAGAAACAUAUUGAUGCAUUCAUGAUGUAGCAUUUUAUUUUUUGUGAAGUGUGGUUUUUAGCAAAAGAGUCUUGAAUUCAUAUUCUAUUUGAAAGAAGCUUUGAAAAAUUGUUUGAAGAAAAAAGAAGAAAUCCACCUCUCUCCCCCUUUCCUCUCUCUCACUGCCAGGCGGGGUCCGCUUGUCAUCUCCCACCUCUUGCAACCGCUCCCUCCUCUCACGCACGCAGCAACCUCCCAAGCCGCGCCCCGCUCCCACAAUUCCCCCCACGCCCCACGCUUCGGCCGUGCCCGAGCCGCACUCCCUCUCCUCAUUCCCCUCCCAUUCUGCUCUCUCGCUCGCUCGAACGCGCACUACAGAACCGCCAUCGGAGCCGCGACUCGCCGCACGUCGUCCCGACGAACCGAGCCGUCCCACUCCUCAUUGUUUCACUCGAUGAGCUCGCCAUUCUCCCCACUCUCUCCCACAGCCUUCCCCACGUGAUUUGGUGCAUUCCAGUGCCUUAGCCGCGAGCUCCGACGGGCCGUUCAUGGCGCCGCUGCGAACCACCAUGGAAACUGCUUUCUUCAGCCGCGCAAAGACACGAAACGCGCUCGCCUUGAUCUCCUCUCUCUCCCGGUGUUCUUGGUUCAGAAAACGGUGCCCUGUAGUCUCCUAACGCCCAACGCCGCCGAGCUCCGAGGCCGCCGGCCAUGGCACGCCCGCACAGACGCACCCCCAGCCACGCUGAGGGCAUGGGCGGACUCGCGACGGCCUCCUCUUUCUCCCGGUUCAAACGGAAUCGAAAAUCGUGCAUCGUAGCUCCCGAUUCAUUUGCUCCGGCGAGCUCCUCGCCACCUGCCAUGGAGCACCACCGUGUCCUCUCCUAAUUCCGGUCAAGAGCACCCCUCACCCCCUCCCAAUCCUGUUGCAGCUAUCCGAUCUCAAAUCAACGGCCACGAUUAGAAGAUACCUCUUUGUUUGCACUUUUGUUAAAGAGUCCCUGUGUUUUUGCCAAAUGAACACGCAGUCCGUAGGCGUCUUUUGAAAAUACGCUUUCACUGAUUUAAAGAUGUAUUUCACUACGGUUUGAUUCAAAAUACGUUUUCUAGUAUUUACAAAAAUGCUAGAGUUUGUUUUGGCCAUAAAAUAUUUGUUUUAACUCUGAUUUGACCCGUUCAACUCGCGUUAGGUUCGUAUUUGCGAGAUCUAAAUGUUAGUCUAACUGUUUUACCAAUUUGAAACUUUUUAAUUUCGUGACCCUAUUUAAUUAAUUACUUUUCAAAAGAAAAUCUUAGAAAAAUUCAUAUCUUCUCCGUUUUAGCUCCGAUUCGAUCCGUUCAAGUUGCGUUAGUUUCAUAAUUUCAUAAGCUUCACGUUGGUACCAUUGUUGUCUAGGUUCACCACUGUUAGGUUUCCUAGAUAAUUACAAGUCCGUAGAUAGCCUUUGCAGUCCCGUUUAAUGCGUAGAUUUCAUGUCGUAACUCCGUUUUCAGUAAAUUUCUCGUUGACGUGAUUGUAGCAGCGGGUAGAUGAUUUUGAAAAACUUUUAUUUACAUUUAUUUACUGCUGGUGUACUGUUCUAAUUGUAAUCUUGUUUGCUUCGUGUAUGUCUGUCUCCGAUUGUUUGUGUGUUGAUGAUCGAUGAUUGAGAUUAGUCAGUGGGCAUUACUUCGGUGAUCAAGAUCAGAGCCUUGAAAGCAAGUAAGAUCAGCAGGACCAGCAGGAGAAAUUGGAUCAAGGCAAGUAUAGCAUUUGGGUUUUAAUUCUAUGACCAUGAUCUUGUGACUAGAUUAAUAUAAAGCAACAAAUGAUAAUAAUGACUUUUUAGCAACUUGAGGAUUUAUUCGUAAGUGAUAACCGGGAUGAAAGUGCAACUAUGAGGGCUAUGAUGGCUCUAGCUUUAGUCAAGUAUGAGUAAUUUUUCUAGCUGGUUAGAGGCUAUUCGUGUGGUGCAAAUGGGGGAUAGCAGACCGUGGAUUCCCUGCAGGGUAGAAUCACACAGACUAACUACCGAAACCAAGCGGCCCUAACUUGUUAGACGAACCUUUGAAAGACUUCAUAGUGAUCCCUGCCAGCCUCUCUUGGAAGGGGGUUAAGAGGUUAGCUACCUCGGGCGAAAGGGUAAAUCAUGACUCAUGGGUAAAGAUGUACAACCUCUACAGAGUGUUUAAUAAACUGGUAUACUUGUCGUGCUCACGGACACGAGCGGCCUUGGGGAUUCUUACAUUAAGGGUGAUGAAUCUUGUUGCGUAAAUAUGCUCAUGUUUAUUGUUUAAUGCUCUAUAUUAUUUAUGUCACAUUGAUCAUGAGACUGUGGGAUCUAUACUACCUAGUUGCCAUACUUGCGGAGUUCGUC